Molecule: ribosomal RNA, 468 nt
Filed under: uncultured bacterium
Lineage: Bacteria
Description: partial 16S ribosomal RNA
Rfam family: Bacterial small subunit ribosomal RNA
Source: RNAcentral
GACGAACGCUGGCGGCGUGCUUAACACAUGCAAGUCGAACGGAAAGGCCCUGCUUUUGUGGGGUGCUCGAUUGGCGAACGGGUGAGUAACACGUGAGUAUCCUGCCCUUGACUUUGGGAUAACUUCAGGAAACUGGGGCUAAUACCGGAUAGGAGCUCCUGCUGCAUGGUGGGGGUUGGAAAGUUUCGGCGGUUGGGGAUGGACUCGCGGCUUAUCGGCUUGUUGGUGGGGUAGUGGCUGACCAAGGCUUUGACGGGUAGCCGGCCUGAGAGGGUGACCGGGCACAUUGGGACUGCGAUACGGCCCAGACUCCUACGGGAGGCAGCAGUGGGGAAUAUUGCACAAUGGGCGGAAGCCUGAUGCAGCGACGCCGCGUGCGGGAUGACGGCCUUCGGGUUGUAAACCGCUUUCGCCUGUGACGAGGCGUGAGUGACGGUAAUGGGUAAAGAAGCACCGGCUAACUACGUG